GAUGAAGAACGUAGCAAAAUGCGAUAAGUAAUGUGAAUUGCAGAAUUCAGUGAAUCAUCGAAUCUUUGAACGCACAUUGCGCCCGCCAGUAUUCUGGCGGGCAUGCCUGUUCGAGCGUCAUUUCAACCCUCAAGCACAGCUUGGUGUUGGGACUCGCGUUAAUUCGCGUUCCCCAAAUUGAUUGGCGGUCACGUCGAGCUUCCAUAGCGUAGUAGUAAAACCCUCGUUACUGGUAAUCGUCGCGGCCACGCCGUUAAACCCCAACUUCUGAAUGUUGACCUCGGAUCAUGUAGGAAUACCCGCUGAACUUAAGCAUAUCAAUAAGCGGAGGA
Molecule: unclassified non-coding RNA, 332 nt
Filed under: soil metagenome
Description: partial contains 5.8S ribosomal RNA, internal transcribed spacer 2, and large subunit ribosomal RNA
Rfam family: 5.8S ribosomal RNA (bases 1-120)
Source: RNAcentral